ACGAACGCUGGCGGCGUGCCUAAUACAUGCAAGUAGAACGCACAGUUUAUACCGUAGCUUGCUACACCAUAGACUGUGAGUUGCGAACGGGUGAGUAACGCGUAGGUAACCUGCCUGGUAGCGGGGGAUAACUAUUGGAAACGAUAGCUAAUACCGCAUAAUAUUAAUUAUUGCAUGAUAAUUAAUUGAAAGGUGCAAUUGCACCACUACCAGAUGGACCUGCGUUGUAUUAGCUAGUAGGUGAGGUAACGGCUCACCUAGGCGACGAUACAUAGCCGACCUGAGAGGGUGAUCGGCCACACUGGGACUGAGACACGGCCCAGACUCCUACGGGAGGCAGCAGUAGGGAAUCUUCGGCAAUGGACGAAAGUCUGACCGAGCAACGCCGCGUGAGUGAAGAAGGUUUUCGGAUCGUAAAGCUCUGUUGUAAGAGAAGAACGGGUGUGAGAGUGGAAAGUUCACACUGUGACGGUAUCCUACCAGAAAGGGACGGCUAACUACGUG
This 504-nucleotide ribosomal RNA is filed under the name uncultured bacterium. RNAcentral describes it as "partial 16S ribosomal RNA". It matches the Rfam family "Bacterial small subunit ribosomal RNA", at positions 29 to 507 of the family's 1533-position model. The record is from RNAcentral.